GACGAACGCUGGCGGCGUGCUUAACACAUGCAAGUCGAACGAAGAGCGACGGAAGCUUGCUUCUAUCACUCUUAGUGGCGAACGGGUGAGUAACGCGUAAUCAACCUGCCCUUCAGAGGGGGACAACAGUUGGAAACGACUGCUAAUACCGCAUACGAUCUAAUCUCGGCAUCGAGGAUGGAUGAAAGGUGGCCUCUACAUGUAAGCUAUCACUGAAGGAGGGGAGUGCGUCUGAUUAGCUAGUUGGAGGGGUAACGGCCCACCAAGGCGAUGAUCAGUAGCCGGUCUGAGAGGAUGAACGGCCACAUUGGGACUGAGACACGGCCCAGACUCCUACGGGAGGCAGCAGUGGGGAAUCUUCCGCAAUGGACGAAAGUCUGACGGAGCAACGCCGCGGGAGUGAUGACGGCCUUCGGGUUGUAAAGCUCUGUUAAUCGGGACGAAAGGCCUUCUUGCGAAUAGUGAGAAGGAUUGACGGUACCGGAAUAGAAAGCCACGGCUAACUACGUG
Molecule: ribosomal RNA, 510 nt
Filed under: uncultured bacterium
Lineage: Bacteria
Description: partial 16S ribosomal RNA
Rfam family: Bacterial small subunit ribosomal RNA
Source: RNAcentral